RNAcentral lists this transfer RNA (68 nucleotides) under Mucilaginibacter saanensis. RNAcentral describes it as "Mucilaginibacter sp. SP1R1 tRNA-Asn". The record is from RNAcentral. Lineage: Bacteria; Pseudomonadati; Bacteroidota; Sphingobacteriia; Sphingobacteriales; Sphingobacteriaceae.
UGUUUUCAAUUGGUUACAAGCAGGAGCAUCUGACUGUUAAUCAGAGGGUCGCUGGUUCGAGCCCAGCC